Molecule: ribosomal RNA, 230 nt
Filed under: uncultured bacterium
Lineage: Bacteria
Description: partial 16S ribosomal RNA
Rfam family: Bacterial small subunit ribosomal RNA
Source: RNAcentral
AAAGGGUGCGUAGGCGGUUUAUUAAGUCAGUGGUGAAAGACGGUCGCUCAACGAUUGCAGUGCCAUUGAUACUGGUAGACUUGAGUGGGAUUGAGGUAGCUGGAAUGGAUAGUGUAGCGGUGAAAUGCAUAGAUAUUAUCCGGAACACCAAUUGCGUAGGCAAGUUACUAAGUCUCAACUGACGCUGAGGCACGAAAGUGUGGGUAUCAAACAGGAUUAGAUACCCCUGU